AGCAGCCGCGGUAAUUCCAGCUCCAAUAGCGUAUAUUAAAGUUGUUGCAGUUAAAAAGCUCGUAGUUGAAUUUUGGGUCUGGCCGGGCGGUCCGCCCUCUGGGUGAGCACUGUUCCGACGCCGGGCCUAUCCUUCUGGUGAGUCGGCAUGUCCUUUAUUGGGUGUGUCGGGGAACCAGGACCAUUACCUUGAAAAAUUAGAGUGUUCAAAGCAGGCGUAUGCUCGAAUACAUUAGCAUGGAAUAAUGAAAUAGGACGCGUGGUGCUAUUUUGUUGGUUUCUAGAACCGCCGUAAUGAUUAAUAGGGAUAGUUGGGGGCAUUAGUAUUCAAUUGUCAGAGGUGAAAUUCUUGGAUUUAUUGAAGACUAACUUCUGCGAAAGCAUUUGCCAAGGAUGUUUUCAUUAAUCAAGAACGAAAGUUAGGGGAUCGAAGACGAUCAGAUACCGUCGUAGUCUUAACCAUAAACUAUGCCGACUAGGAAUCGGGCGAUGUUAUUCUCAUGACUCGCCCGGCGCCUUAU
RNAcentral lists this ribosomal RNA (520 nucleotides) under uncultured Ambispora. Its description in RNAcentral is "SSU rRNA". It matches the Rfam family "Eukaryotic small subunit ribosomal RNA", at positions 569 to 1091 of the family's 1831-position model. The record is from RNAcentral. Lineage: Eukaryota; Fungi; Glomeromycota; Glomeromycetes; Archaeosporales; Ambisporaceae.